Long non-coding RNA from Rhipicephalus sanguineus (brown dog tick), 1036 nucleotides. RefSeq lists it as uncharacterized. The transcript is spliced from 4 exons. The record is from RefSeq and is a predicted model, not a curated record. Lineage: Eukaryota; Metazoa; Arthropoda; Arachnida; Ixodida; Ixodidae.
CAGUUGCAACAGGUCUCGUUGUACUGCAGGAACCCGCUUUCCGUGAACACAUGUGCCUCGCGCUUGCAUGUUUAUCGUGUUGAUGGAUAUUGUGUGCGUUUAUUGUGUGCUUAUCGUACUCGACAUUCGUCGACGGGGCAUUUUCCGUGUGUUGAGGCGUUCUCCUGCCUUAAUCCAGUGGCGGAUGAUGGUCGUCGUUCGUUGCCGCUCAACACAGCCUCAUGGGACGCGCAGCUUUGUGUCCGCGCUCAAAAGUGCUUUCUUGCUUUGUUCAUCGAUUACUCACGUUCAUCGAGUGAUUCAAUAUCGAGUGUACUUCCGAAGACGAUCCGCGUCCUAGUGUUUGGACAAGCGGCGACUGCGGAUCCACAGGAGGGGAAGCGUGAGCCUUUUGACGAGCGACUAUGAAGAGUGCACAGCCAAUGCCAAACUUGGGAACCGGCGUGUUGGCAUAGCGAGGAUGAUCAACCAGAUACCCGAUAGGCAGCGAUGAGAGAGAGCUGUUCGUGGCACCGACACAGAGGACAGGUUGCAGUACAAGAUAGGAGCAUACUUCCUGCAAGCCCGGGCAAGCCAUAAUGAGUGGUUUCAAAUACAGCAACUGUACCACCACAACAAUGCAGCACAGGAGAUCCUAUCGUCAGUGCCGCGUCGAGAAAUUAAAUAAAAAAGCGCUUACUCCUGGAAACUUCUCGUAUCGUCAUAUUUGUUUGUUUGUGAUUAUAGAACUGCACUUUCAUGGGAAUUGAAUGAACUAGCCCCAUUUAUUGUCCCAUUAAAACUGAAUAAAUUGACAAUGUAGAGCUUGUUUCCAAAUGCCUGCAUCAUAGGCCUACAAGAUUGCUUAUUGGCUUCAAAAUACUCUUACAUGUAAAGAACGCUGUUGAUAUAGUCAUUGCUGGAAAUGGUCUGCUAAUAUUUUUGUUACGAACCUCUAAAGCGUACACACUUUUGUAUUGUUAACCACAAAAAGAUUUAUUAACUGUGUGCAGCAAACAUGCUGUUGCAGGCAUAAGGCUGCAAUACGCUGAAACUC